This 1263-nucleotide long non-coding RNA is filed under the name Fragaria vesca (wild strawberry). Its description in RNAcentral is "long non-coding RNA (FVES_LNC004223)". The record is from RNAcentral. Lineage: Eukaryota; Viridiplantae; Streptophyta; Magnoliopsida; Rosales; Rosaceae.
UAAUGAUCAUAUAUGACGGUCGAAUUUUGGUUUGUGAAUUUUAGUCAUCGGAAUCACAACGUGUCUACUAAUGUUGUAUAACUUGUUUAGUAGGUUAUACAAUUUUGUGAACCAACUCUAUAUAGGAAGCAAAAUUAUCAAAAAUCUCGUGAAAUAAGAUGUGUUCAGAAUGGUGAAAUACGACUAUGGUUCAAAAAUCACGUAAAUCGGGUAAAGUCUCGGUGCCGAUAGUAGCAUACAACCCUAUUUACCGUUAUUAUUCCCUGUGGGGAGCCCUAUCGUCGGAAAGCAAAUGUCUCAAAAUUUUUAUAUAGGCGGUUGCGUCUCAUCUGCGUGAAAGUUUUUCGUGUGGAAGGUUUGACCAAACUACGUAAUAUAGAGGGAGAUAUGAGCGUUUUCGUGAAUUUAUAGACUUUAGCCGACGAGAUAUUAAAAAAGUCGUCGGCUAAUGUCAAAAAUUUUUGGGCGGUAAAAAUUUUCAAAGGACUUUAGCCGACGAAAAUAUUUGAAAAGUCGUUGGCUAAGGUCAAAAAUUUUUGGGCGGUAAAAAUUUUCAAAGGACUUUAGCCGACGAAAAUAUAUGAAGAGUCGUCGGCUAAAGUCGAAAAAUUUUCAAAAUUUUCAACCAAAAUUUUUUGGCGGUCAACCAAAAUUUUCGAAAUUUUCAAAAGAGUUUAGACGACGAAAAUAAAGAAUUUCGUCGGCUAAAGUUCUUUAUAUAGGAGUUUUACCGGAGGUGGAUGGUAAGAAGUCUGUUUCGUCUGCCGAAUUUUCUUCUCUGCCUAGCUCCGCCGUCAAGCCACUGGAGACCGCCACAGUUGUCCCAAAAGCUUCACCGUCGUCUCUACUUCAUUGCUGGACAGGUGGUGCAUCGAGUGGCGCCGCCGUGAGGGAUAAAUCGAGCUCCAAAACUCCGCCGGUUCGGAUUCGGUGUCGAUCGAAUUUCUCCUUCCUCAGGUCACCAUUUGGUGAGUUCUAUAUAUGGAUAAGUUGAGUUUGAUUAGUACUACAUUCCCCUAGAAUUUGGUAGCUCGAUUCGGUGUGUGUGAGGAGAAUCGAAGAUUUGAAGUUUUUAGGGUUUAAAAUUGGGGAUUUUUAUGUUUUGAUUCAAUUGACCAGUUUAGGCUUAGAAUUGGGCUUCGACUUCUUCUAGAAAGUUGUUUGAAAUGUUGAGAUGAAGAUUCUGUCAAAUUUUGGUGGUGAUUGGAGGUGGCCGAAAGUUUCUGCAGUUUUUUUCAAAACCAGCAACUUUAGCCGACGAUA